RNAcentral lists this ribosomal RNA (492 nucleotides) under uncultured bacterium. Its description in RNAcentral is "partial 16S ribosomal RNA". It matches the Rfam family "Bacterial small subunit ribosomal RNA", at positions 29 to 507 of the family's 1533-position model. The record is from RNAcentral.
AGUGAACGCUGGCGGUAGGCCUAACACAUGCAAGUCGAACGGCAGCACAGUAAGAGCUUGCUCUUACGGGUGGCGAGUGGCGGACGGGUGAGGAAUACAUCGGAAUCUACUUUUUCGUGGGGGAUAACGUAGGGAAACUUACGCUAAUACCGCAUACGACCUACGGGUGAAAGCAGGGGAUCUUCGGACCUUGCGCGAUUGAAUGAGCCGAUGUUGGGUUAGCUAGUUGGCGGGGUAAAGGCCCACCAAGGCGACGAUCCGUAGCUGGUCUGAGAGGAUGAUCAGCCACACUGGAACUGAGACACGGUCCAGACCCCUACGGGAGGCAGCAGUGGGGAAUAUUGGACAAUGGGCGCAAGCCUGAUCCAGCCAUACCGCGUGGGUGAAGAAGGCCUUCGGGUUGUAAAGCCCUUUUGUUGGGAAAGAAAAGCAGCAGGUUAAUACCCCGCUGUUCUGACGGUACCCAAAGAAUAAGCACCGGCUAACUUCGUG